UUCCAACCCUUCUGGAGCAAUUCCCACCCUUGUUUCAACCAUCUGAGGAGGUAGUUAGGCGCCGGGGUUAGCGUGGUGAGUGACUUCGGCCAAGGCCAAGGAGGUAAGGGCAAGGCUCCCAUGUACGGCUAACGGUGGAUGCUGCGAAGGCCAUGAAAAUCUUAAGGAAGGGUUGUAGUGUCG
Molecule: non-coding RNA, 183 nt
Organism: Cucurbita pepo subsp. pepo (vegetable marrow)
Lineage: Eukaryota; Viridiplantae; Streptophyta; Magnoliopsida; Cucurbitales; Cucurbitaceae
Source: RefSeq, a predicted model, not a curated record